GCAGUAGACCCCCCCCCCCCCCCGCCUGCGACGGCGAUGUCGGUGUCGGCGGUGGUCCCGGCGGCGGUGGCGCGGCCUUCGCGGACGCUUGUCUGCGUGCCGGCGACAGCGCGGGCGCCCCGGGAGAUGGCGGCGGAGCUGGGCGCCGCCGCCGCUCUCGGCGCCGACGUGGCGGAGCUCCGGCUCGACUGCCUCGCCGGCUUCGCGCCGCGCAGGGACCUGCCCGUCCUCCUCGCUGAGCCCCGCCCGCUCCCGGCUCUCGUCACCUACAGACCGAAGUGGGAAGGAGGCGAGUACGAAGGCGAAGAUGAGCCACGGUUUGAGGCGCUCCUGUUGGCAAUGGAGCUGGGAGCCGAGUACGUUGAUAUCGAGCUCAAGGUUGUUGAUAAAUUUAUGAAACUUGUCUCUGGGAAGAAACCUGAAAAUUGUAAGCUCAUCGUUUCGUCCCAUAAUUUCGAGAACACUCCAUCAGCAGAGGAGCUUGGAAAUUUGGUGGCUCAGAUACAAGCAACAGGGGCUGACAUAGUGAAAAUUGCAACAACUGCUACUGAAAUUGUUGAUGUGGCAAGAAUGUUUCAAAUACUUGUUCAUUGUCAGGAAAAGCAGGUGCCAAUCAUUGGGCUGGUGAUGAAUGACAGAGGUUUUAUUUCUCGGAUUCUUUGCCCAAAAUAUGGUGGAUACCUUACUUUUGGGUCUCUGGAGAAAGGAAAAAAAUCUGCUCCUGCACAGCCAACAGCUGCAGACUUAAUAAAUCUGUACAAUAUUAGGCAGAUAGGCCCAGAUACUAAGGUCUUCGGUAUUAUUGGAAAGCCAGUUGGACACAGUAAAAGCCCAAUUUUGCAUAAUGAAGCUUUCAGAUCAGUGGGUUUCAACGCUGUGUAUGUGCCGUUUUUGGUGGAUGACUUGGUUCAAUUUCUUAGUACCUACUCUUCACUAGACUUUGCUGGCUUCAGUUGCACAAUUCCCCAUAAGGAAGCAGCAGUUAGGUGCUGUGAUGAAGUCGAUCCUAUUGCCAGGGACAUUGGAGCUGUUAAUACAAUCGUUAGAAGACCUGAUGGAAAACUUGUAGGCUACAAUACUGACUAUGUUGGUGCUAUUUCUGCUAUUGAGGAUGGAAUAAGAGCAUCACAACCAACAGAUCCAACCACAUCCCCACUGGCUGGAAGGCUUUUCGUUGUUAUUGGGGCUGGUGGUGCAGGGAAAGCACUAGCAUAUGGUGCAAAAGAGAAGGGAGCAAGAGUUGUAAUUGCAAACCGUACUUUUGCACGUGCCCAAGAACUUGCCAACUUAAUUGCGGGGCCUGCUUUGACUCUGGCGGAGUUGGAAAACUACCAUCCGGAGGAAGGGAUGAUUCUUGCAAAUACAACAGCCAUUGGAAUGCAUCCAAAUGUUAAUGAAACUCCUUUAUCUAAGCAAGCACUUAAAUCCUAUGCUGUUGUCUUUGAUGCGGUCUACACACCAAAAGAGACUAGACUUCUCCGAGAAGCUGCAGAAUGUGGAGCUACAGUUGUUAGUGGUCUGGAGAUGUUUAUAAGACAAGCAAUGGGUCAAUUUGAGCAUUUCACGGGCAUGCCAGCUCCAGAUAGGUUGAUGCGUGAUAUUGUUCUUACAAGGACGUAGUAAGGUUCGUCCAAAGACAACCUUCGCUUCCAUCAUAAUUUCUGCAAAAUUGAUUCCAGUUUGGAUGAUGACAAAUUCCGAGGAAUCGCAAAUUCGUUGGACAACCCUGACAGCAUGAAACCUCGUCUGUGAGCGAUUCAUCCAGGCCUGCGGCUUUCCCUUUUUUCUGGUUCAGAUUUGGAUUCAGCGGUCAGUUUGCCAUUCAGCUGUUAUAAAUGAGAUGGUGUUGACUGAAACAUUUUAGUGUGUUAAUUGUAUCAGCCCAAAAUUUUCUUCUCCCAAAUGUGUACAUCAAAGAACAGUAAGGAAAGGUUGCAUGGGAUUUUGUAGUAGAAAAUAUCCAGUUUCUGGGAAUCAAGCGUGGUAUGCUCCACUGUCCCAUCAGAAUCUCAGACGAGAUGUUCUAUUCUCAUUUAUCCGAGUGAAAUGUUGUGGCGCCAGAAGUAAAUGCAGGAACCUCAGCAUCAGUUCAAUGAAAUUUGUAGUUUUCUUCAGAUAGAACAACUUUUUUUCCACAAGAAUUGCAAUUGGAACAGUUGUAACGUUGUACAAUUUGGAACAGUUCAAGAAUUUAUCAUAGGAAUUUGUAAUGCAGGUAUCAGUUUACAUACACUUUGCAGCGAUGGUCAAA
This is an RNA transcript of Phragmites australis (common reed), 2251 nucleotides long. It is a transcript of the gene named bifunctional 3-dehydroquinate dehydratase/shikimate dehydrogenase, chloroplastic-like, with no coding region annotated. The transcript is spliced from 11 exons. NCBI's taxonomy places the organism in Eukaryota, Viridiplantae, Streptophyta, Magnoliopsida, Poales, Poaceae. The record is from RefSeq and is a predicted model, not a curated record.